Molecule: long non-coding RNA, 1950 nt
Organism: Chenopodium quinoa (quinoa)
Lineage: Eukaryota; Viridiplantae; Streptophyta; Magnoliopsida; Caryophyllales; Amaranthaceae
Exons: 4
Source: RefSeq, a predicted model, not a curated record
UGGUCAAGAAGCUAUAUCAAUAGAUGGUGGCCAAAUAUGCAGAGUUGCAGUUGAUAGUAGUUGCGUUUUUAAUUUAUUUUUACUUUUUGAUAAUGAAAAGUUUGGUUUUACUACUCUUUGACUGUUAUUUAUUCUUCUUGGAGAGAGGUUAGUGGCUUAGUAACUGUUUGGCCUAGUUUCUACAAGUGUUUCUUUAUCUAAGAAAUAGAAACUGGGCUAAAUAAGGGUUUUUUAAGAAACAAAAACACUUUCUCAAGAAGCCCAAAAUAACUUCUAGAGUGGGAAAAAUAAGAAGCACCAAUUUUGAGCUUCUCUAUAUCAGUUUCUCGGGGAGCUGAUUUCCCAUUUAAUGAAACUUUUUUUUGGACAAAAAUAUCCUUAACAUUUUACAAAAAGACCUCUAAUAUCCCAUUAAAAAAAAGAAACCCCCCUUCUCUCUCUCUUCACCUCUCAUAAACACUGAGCAGCUCUUUCUCUCUCCAAUAACACGAAACGCUCAACCCUCAAGGCCAAACGAAGACGGCGUCCGACGACAUGCAAUCCGGUCCUCCUAGACCACCGGCGCCACCAUUUCGUCCACCCAAGAGGACACAACCAAGCAAUAAUAAGGAGAAAGCUAUAGAUCUCAGUGGUUCUCCUCAUCCAAAUCAUCCCAAUACUUCACGAACAAGAAGUUCUGCCAAUGAGAUUAACGAACAAGUAAAGAGGUCAAAAGCAACUUGGUUUGAUGAAACAACUAAGAUUUUUUGUGAGGUUUGUGCUGAAGAGGUCCAUGCAGGGAAUAGACCACACACUCAUUUUAGCAAAAUUGGUUGGAAUAAUGUGGUUAUAAAGUUCUAACAAAGGUCUGGUAAAAAGUAUGACCAGAAGCAAUUAAAAAACAAGUGGGAGAAGUUAAAAACGGAGUACGCUACAUGGAAGAAUCUCGUAGAAAAGGAGACAGGAUUAGGAUGGGAUCAUGAGAAAAAUACAAUUGUUGCAUCCGAUAAGUGGUGGGCACUCCAAGAACAGGCCAAUCCGAGUGUUGCUAAAUUUCGUGAAGCUGGAAUCCAAAAUUUAACAGAGUUAGAGAUCAUGUUUGCUAAAAUAAUUGUUUCUGCUACAACUUCAUGGAACCCUUAUUCACAAGAUGAUAUUGAAAUAGAAGACUUGACUACCAUAGGAAACGAAGAGAUAGAAUAUGAGGAACAAGUUGACAUUACUAUGGAUGGUAGUAUCAAUGAAACAGUAUCUCAACAGCUUGAAAGUGAAAGCAUUGACAAGACCAAAGUCAAUACAACAUCGGAAGAAAAAGGAAAAAAAACACAAAAAGGAAAUAAAUCUAAAGUUAGCACAGCUAAGCUCAUGCAAAAUUAGCUAAAACGUAUUGUUGGUGCGAUGGAGAAUUUCUCUCAAUCUAGUGCUACUGUAACUUCAAAAAGAACCGAUCUUCCUGGUUGUAGCAUUGGAGAGUGUCUAACAUUGCUAGCUACAACACCAGGGGUUGAAAUAGGAAGUGAACAUGAUUUUAGUAUGGAGUCUAUUCGCUAUAAUAUUGCAACUUCUCUAAUGAGUCGUGGAUUGUAACAUUAUUGGAUCUUUUAUUAGGAAUAAUAAUAGCAGACAUUUUGGAUAUGAAUUUUUUAUAUUUUGACAAAAAAAUCUAAGUAUUUAGACUUAUGAAUUGUUCAAUAUUUUAAAUUAAAUUUAAUCUUAUAAGCUAUUAUAAACAAUUUGCUAUUAAAAAACAAAAAAAAAAACUAUUAUUAACAAAAAAAAAAAAACUAUUAUUAACAACAAUGUACAAGAAAUUAAUACUAAUUUAUUCUCCCAAAUAAUUUUUUUUAAAAAAAAAACUAAUAUGGGCCAAACAGGGUAAAAUAGUUUCUCAAUCUAAGAAUCACUUCUGAUUUUUGAUGGGCCAAACAAAUCUAUUUCUUACAACUGUUUCUCUAGAAAUAGUUUCUGGAA